This 423-nucleotide long non-coding RNA is filed under the name Olea europaea (common olive). RNAcentral's name for it is "long non-coding RNA (OEUR_LNC009972)". Lineage: Eukaryota; Viridiplantae; Streptophyta; Magnoliopsida; Lamiales; Oleaceae. The record is from RNAcentral.
AUCUUAUCUGCUUCCCAAUUGCUCUGCGCCAUGCUAUACAACUUCAAAGGCUCACUUCACACAGUUCGAACAAUCAGUUAAUCGCACUUCCACUGAAAAUGAAGUCGUGCCACAAAAAAACGCGAAUCGAUCAGAACAAUCGAGGCACUCAAGGUUUAAAAUUCUAAAACCCUAAUUUCAAGAAGUAUUGAUAUACAAGGACUUAAAUGCAACUGUUAUAGAGAUCAAGCAAUUCAUUGAUUAUAUCUUCCCGUCAAAAAUCCUAAUUCAAAACUAAAUUGAAAGCAAAAAUCAAAUUAGCAAAACUCACAGAAAUAAAACAAGAUCGUCACUAAUAAAUUCAGCUCCAUUAAAAGAUAUCAAUUCCAUACACGUGUUCCUCAAGUCACUUCCGAAUGUCCAGUCUAACCUUUAGAGCUUCGA